This 526-nucleotide ribosomal RNA is filed under the name uncultured archaeon. RNAcentral describes it as "bacterial SSU rRNA". It matches the Rfam family "Bacterial small subunit ribosomal RNA", at positions 513 to 1050 of the family's 1533-position model. The record is from RNAcentral.
AGCCGCGGUAAUACGUAGGUGGCGAGCGUUAUCCGGAAUUAUUGGGCGUAAAGCGUGAGUAGGUGGCAUAUUAAGUCUAUAGUAAAAGCCUGUGGCUCAACCACAGGAUGCUAAGGAAACUGAUAAGCUAGAGUACGGGAGAGGUUAAUGGAAUUCCAUGUGUAGCGGUGAAAUGCGUAGAGAUAUGGAGGAACACCAGUGGCGAAGGCGGUUAACUGGUCCGAGACUGACACUGAGUCACGAAAGCGUGGGGAGCAAAUAGGAUUAGAUACCCUAGUAGUCCACGCCGUAAACGAUGAGUACUAAGUGUUGGAGAAAUUCAGUGCUGAAGUAAACAUAAUAAGUACUCCGCCUGAGUAGUACGUUCGCAAGAAUGAAACUCAAAGGAAUUGACGGGACCCCGCACAAGCGGUGGAGCAUGUGGUUUAAUUCGAAGCAACGCGAAGAACCUUACCAGGGCUUGACAUGGCAUUAAAAGGUUAAGAGAUUAACAAAUAGUUAUAGUGCACACAGGAGGUGCAUGGCC